Molecule: ribosomal RNA, 478 nt
Filed under: uncultured bacterium
Lineage: Bacteria
Description: partial 16S ribosomal RNA
Rfam family: Bacterial small subunit ribosomal RNA
Source: RNAcentral
GACGAACGCUGGCGGCGUGCUUAACACAUGCAAGUCGAACGGUAAGGCCCUUCGGGGUACACGAGUGGCGAACGGGUGAGUAACACGUGGGUGAUCUGCCCUGCACUUCGGGAUAAGCCUGGGAAACUGGGUCUAAUACCGGAUAGGACCACUGCCUGCAUGGGUGGUGGUGGAAAGCUUUUGCGGUGUGGGAUGGGCCCGCGGCCUAUCAGCUUGUUGGAGGGGUGAUGGCCUACCAAGGCGACGACGGGUAGCCGGCCUGGGUGGGUGACCGGCCACACUGGGACUGAGAUACGGCCCAGACUCCGACGGGGGGCAGCAGUGGGGAAUCUUGCACAAUGGGCGCAAGCCUGAUGCAGCGACGCCGCGUGAGGGAUGACGGCCUUCGGGUUGUAAACCUCUUUCAGCACCGACGAAGCGCAGGUGACGGUAGGUGCAGAAGAAGGACCGGCCAACUACGUGCCAGCCGCCGCGGUAA